GGAAUAUUGGACAAUGGGGGGAACCCUGAUCCAGCGACGCCGCGUGAGUGAAGAAGUAUUUCGGCAUGUAAAGCUCUAUCAGCAGGGAAGAAGAAAAUGACGGUACCUGACUAAGAAGCCCCGGCUAACUACGUGCCAGCAGCCGCGGUAAUACGUAGGGGGCAAGCGUUAUCCGGAUUUACUGGGUGUAAAGGGAGCGUAGACGGUUAUGUAAGUCUGGAGUGAAAGCCCGGGGCCCAACCCCGGGACUGCUUUGGAAUCUGUGUAACUGGAGUACAGGAGGGGCAGGCGGAAUUCCUGGUGUAGCGGUGAAAUGCGUAGAUAUCAGGAGGAACACCGGCGGCGAAGGCGGCCUGCUGGACUGAAACUGACGUUGAGGCUCGAAAGCGUGGGGAGCAAA
Molecule: ribosomal RNA, 400 nt
Filed under: uncultured bacterium
Lineage: Bacteria
Description: bacterial SSU rRNA
Rfam family: Bacterial small subunit ribosomal RNA
Source: RNAcentral